Molecule: ribosomal RNA, 466 nt
Filed under: uncultured bacterium
Lineage: Bacteria
Description: partial 16S ribosomal RNA
Rfam family: Bacterial small subunit ribosomal RNA
Source: RNAcentral
GACGAACGCUGGCGGCGCGCCUAACACAUGCAAGUCGAACGAGCGAGAGAGAGCUUGCUUUCUCAAGUGAGUGCCGAACGGGUGAGUAACGCGUGUGGAACCUGCCUCAAUGAGGGGGACAACAGUUGGAAACGACUGCUAAUACCGCAUAAGCUCACGACCCGGCAUCGGGUAGAGGGAAAAGGAGCAAUCUGCUUUGAGAUGGCCUCGCGUCCGCUUAGCUAGUUGGUGAGGUAACGGCCCACCAAGGCGACGAUCGGUAGCCGGACUGAGAGGUUGAACGGACACAUUGGGACUGAGACACGGCCCAGACUCCUACGGGAGGCAGCAGUGGGGAAUAUUGCACAAUGGGGGAAACCAUGAUGCAGCGACGCCGGGUGGAGGAAGAAGGUCUUCGGAUUGAAAACUCCUGUUGUUGAGGAAGAUAAUGACGGUACUCAACAAGGAAGUGACGGCUAACUACGUG